UUGACAAAUACAAUCUCGAAGAAAAACUUUUUUGGAAUAUAUUUUGGAAUAGACAUUAGUCUAAUGUGUCAACCAUGUUUUUGUUUACACAAGUAUGAGCUACUUGCAGAGGUAAAAAAAGUCAAGUCCUGAUUUAGUCCUGGCCAUGUUGUAGCCUUUAAAAGAUAAACUUUGGUCAGACACAAUGAAAAUUGUCUGAAACACGUUUCCUGUCACUUUACAGGGCACUGACACAGGCACAGAUUCUGAAGCUUGGCAGCAUAUCACAGUCUCACCAGGGGUCCAUUUAUAGCUGUUCUGAGCUAUCAGUCAUAUCACAUGAUCUUCAUCAACAGAUAAGGACUAUUACAAUAUAUUUGGAUGAAUAAGGAAAAGAGGAAAGGUAUAUUAUGUACAGGACUGGUACUUACAUACAUUUAUAAUCUCCUAAAUCCAUUUUCGGUGUUCUGCAGGGUUCUACAGAUGGUGACUCUUCCAAUGACCCUGCUGCCAACGCCAGUCUUGUGAAUGAGAAUGUGUAGGACGCAGCGUGAAGUUCCUGCAACAACAGCAUCAUUUCCAUCAGAGUACACGAAGCCUCACUGUGCUGAAAGCAAAUUGGCCGCUCAGGCAGAAAAGGCUGCUCUCAUGGAACGGGUUGCCGCCCUGCAGAAAAAGCAUGACCUUGAGGCACAGGAAGAACGACUGAAAAGGAAGAAAGAACAACUGGAACUAGAGACUGAACUGGCAGCAACCAAUGCAAAAAUCAAUGUACUUGAAUCAAUGGGAUCAAGAAACAGCUCAAGAGUAUCUGAUGGGAUGAACUCAUAUUUGAGAAAAGGAACUGCUCAAAAGAACGUCAAUCAAAUUAAAUCCGCAUGUGAACACCUAUUUACCUGAUCAAGUGCAACAAAGACAGAAUGUGCGGAUGGGAACUGCAUCUUCUUCACAGCAACAGGUUGCUCGACCAAAGGAAAGAGCUGCUGGACCGUCUGUUAGAGCUCAGGAUAUGACUCCUCUAACACAACAACCUGUAUUUAAUGAUGGUAAUCAAGGUGAUAUCUAUCACAUUAUUCAGAGGCAAAAUGACAUCACAGCCCUUCCUGCUCAACAAAAUCUCUCUCCUACUUUACUACAAAGAGACAUUCCUGUUUAUGAUGGUGAUCCAAUAUGGAGUUUUCAUCAGGGCAUUUGACAGAGGAGUGGAAAGAAAAGACAGACGACUACAGUGACUGCCUGCAUUUCCUAGUGUGAUACACCAAAAGAUUUAGUCCACAGCUGCCAACAUUUGCCUCCAGCUGAGGGCUAUAAAAGAGCAAAGGAUCUACUUAAAGAACAUUUUGGUAAUGAACAUAAGAUCGCCACAGCAUACAUGGACAAAGCAUUUGCCUGGCCAGCGAUCAAGCCAGAGGAUGUGAAAGCAUUGCAAGCGUUUUCAUUAUUCCUUAGAGGCUGUUGCAAUGCAAUGGAACAGAUCACCUAUAUGGAGGAGAUGAAUAUUGCUUGCAGCAUGAAGACCAUUCUUCUGAAACUGCCUUACAAGCUCAGAGACAAGUGGAGGAAUAGGGCAUGUCAGCUUCAGGAACAACAUGGAUGCCGAGCUAGUUUCUUUGAUCUAGUAGACGUCCUGGAGAGACAAGUGAAGAUAUUGUCGGAUCCACUUUUUGGAAACAUCCAGGAUGUUAAGACAACUACAUCUGUUAAAGGCUCCACCUUUGCUAAAGCAAGAGAAAAGUUGAGACCAAGGGGAAGCAGUUUUGCAACAACUGUAACACCUGUAGAAACACCAAAAACAAGAAACAAUUACGACAAAUGGGACGACAAAUGGGAUGAAAAAUGUAUCUGCUGCUAAUUCUCAAAAUUCCUGUCUGUUCUGUGAUAGAGGUGGUCACACAUUGGUGCGUUGUCCACAAAUCAGGAAAAAAAUAGACUUCUUAAGUCCGUUUUGGAUGUUUGAAGGUAGGACACAUGAGCAAAGACUGCAAUAGUCGUUUGACUUGUGACGUGUGCAAUAAAAAUCAUCCUGAAAUUCUUCACAUUGAACAAAAGGACAUGGGGAAAGAAAACAGAACUGAAUGAGAAAUCAAUUGGGAUCAUACAUGUGGGCAUAUUGGGGCCGGUGAAGAAGUCUUUUCUCUAUUGUUCCAGUACAAGUAAAGACCCCCAAAGGAGACGCAGUGUUACAAACAUAUGCAUUUUUGAACUAUGUCAAGAUUCAUGAAAUAGACGCUGGCAUUGAGCUGCUCAUUGGCACAAAUUCUGCGAAGGUAUUGGAACCUUGGGAAGUGGUCAAUAGCCAAAGGGAUGGACCAUAUGCUGUGAGGACCCUACUGCUGUCAAUCGAAUGUCUGUUGUGAAUCUAGAGGAGCUACUGGUUAAACAAUACAAUCAUGAUUUCAAUGAAGGAACCAGCAAGGAAACAGAGGAAAUGUCCAGAGAAGAGAGAAAAUUCUUGGAUAUUGUGAAUCACUCAACAAAAAUGACAGAUGGUCACUACUGCCUAGACUUCCCUUUCAAGCAAGAAAAUCCCAGCAUGCCAAAUAACCGUUGCAGAGCAGAGCAGAGAAUCCAAAGCCUGAACAAAUUUGGUAAAAAUGAGAUGUUUCACACUGAAUAUAAAGCUUUCCUCAAAGAAAUGAUUGACAACGGCUAUGCUGAAAUGAUACCAGUAGAUCAACUGACUCGCAAUGAUGGGGAACUCUGGUACAUCCCACAUCACGGGGUGUAUCACUCAAGGAAAGGAACCUUAAGAGUGGUCUUCGACUGCCGUGCUGGCUUCAAGGGAACAUCGCUCAAUGAACAACUGCUACAGGGUCCAGAUCUUACCAACUCGCUCAUCAAACAGGUGUGGUUAAUUGAAGAAGAGCAGCAAACUGUUUUUAACUGUGCUCGGAUUAUGUUGUUUAUUCUACUUUUAUAUUACGUAUUAUUUAUUGUAAGUGGACGCAGGUAAUAAACGCCAAACUGCAAACUUUA
Micropterus dolomieu (smallmouth bass) is the source of this 2955-nucleotide long non-coding RNA. RefSeq lists it as uncharacterized. The record is from RefSeq and is a predicted model, not a curated record. The transcript is spliced from 3 exons. NCBI's taxonomy places the organism in Eukaryota, Metazoa, Chordata, Actinopteri, Centrarchiformes, Centrarchidae.